CACGGAGCAACCGCUCCUCACCACCAUUGCUGCGCGGUUUCUAACAGCUCCUCAUGAAGACCAAAUACCGCCAAUGGGAGAGCCACAAGCUGGUUCACCAGAGGUAGAGGUGGCUAGGGCGGAAGAGGAGGAAGAGGUUAAUUUUUUUUUUUGAAGAGGUGCCUAGGGAGGAAGAGGAGGAGGUGCCUAUGGUUGAAUAUCAAGAUCAGGGGACCCAAACUGGUCCAUUUUUAACUCCACUUUUUGACCAACUGGCUGAGGCCCUAACAGCUGUUGCCAGGGCAGUUAGAAACAUACAGCAGGCCCUAAAUGAGAUGUAAUAAUUUAAAUUUGUUUGAUUUUAAAAAAAAAAAAAGAAAAAAAAAAAUUAGAAUAAAAAUUGUUUCUUUUAUAGUUA
Bombina bombina (fire-bellied toad) is the source of this 397-nucleotide long non-coding RNA. RefSeq lists it as uncharacterized. NCBI's taxonomy places the organism in Eukaryota, Metazoa, Chordata, Amphibia, Anura, Bombinatoridae. The record is from RefSeq and is a predicted model, not a curated record. The transcript is spliced from 3 exons.